GAAUGCCCCUCACCAUUAAAAUAUAAUAUCUAGACAAUAACAAACAACACAUUAAUUAGUCUCAUGAUUCCUAACCUCCUUAAACUUUAUUUUAUUACCAUAUUAACCAAUGCAAUACAAACAAUUCAAAAUAUUAUUCUUUAAUUUGCAUAUCUUUAAUUAAAAAAUAUAAACCAAAAAUAUAUUUCCCUAAUUAUAUAUCCCUAA
Molecule: long non-coding RNA, 207 nt
Filed under: Vigna radiata
Lineage: Eukaryota; Viridiplantae; Streptophyta; Magnoliopsida; Fabales; Fabaceae
Description: long non-coding RNA (VRAD_LNC006286)
Source: RNAcentral